AUCUAGUUGGGGUCAUUUUAUGUGGAAGAAUAAUAUCUGAAAAAUCAUGAGAAUAGGAUUUAAAAAAUAUAUAUUUAUUGGUUUCUUUAUUUGACUGCACCGUGUCUUAGCUACAGCAUGUGGGACCUAGUGCCCUGACCAGGGAUUGAACCUGGGUCCCCUGCACUGGGAGUGCCGAGUCCUCACCACUGAACCACCUGGGAAGUCCUGAGAAUAGGAUUUUAACAUUAGUAAGAGCCCAAAGAGGAGAUCUUAAUUGAAAUCAGGAUGCAUGGAGAAUCCUGGUACAGAGGCAGUGUUUUAGGGUGGGGAAGCCGGGCUAAAAUCUGUCCAAGAGUGCCUAUUGGACCAAGGCCUUUUUGAAGAAGGCGACGAGAGUCCCUGACUUAGAGGAAACUGGGAGAAGGCCUUUUGAUGGCUCUAUUGUUAGGAAAGCUGCCCUAAAAUACCACACCCCUCCCCUUCUCCACAAGGGCCUGAGGGCCAAAUGACCGGGAAAGUGGGUCUGUUGGGUUGAACUCCAGGGAGUGGCAGAGUCAGAACUGACCUCCUUCACCCGCGUCUGCUAACCCCUUGGGGCAGCGAUGCCAUCUCCGUCGCCAGCAAAAACACACAAAGGAGGCCCCCACCCAGGCUCGAACCUGGGGGCACACUGGAGGCACACUGGAGAGAGGGCCGGCGUGGACCCCCGGUCGGAGAGCCUCCUACCCCCACGGGGAACAAUAGCUGCCGCCUCCCCGGGGCGGUGGGGGCGGUCGCGCCGCACAAAGGCCGGCUCGGCCAGCACCAUGUGACGCGCGCUCGACCCGCUCUCCCGGCGGCGCGGCGGACGGGAGGGUGUUCCGACCCACCUGGAACACUUUCCGAAAGACAAACGCGGUUCCGCCUACUUCGGAGCAAGUCCGGGCCAGCUGGGAUCCGACCAGAAACCGCAAGCGGAGGAGACGCGGAUACGCAGGCUGAGCGGUAACGGAGGGCGCGACCUGCCGCCCCAGGCCCGAGGGUAGCGCCGCCCCGUCCUCCCCGCGCCUGGGACCGCAGCAGCCGCGCCCGCGGGCCACGCAGGGCGCCCGGGUCCCCCAGCGUCCCGGCCCCACCUCCACGCCCCCCUCCGCGCACUUCCCGCUUGCCCCAGUGACACCCUUCACCGCGGCUGUCCCCCCAGAAAGGGACAAACCCGACUCUGAGGACAGGACGAGAAGAAACCUCAAUAGGUGGGAAGGUUCUUGCAAACACUUUAAGAGUUUAAUAAAGGAUGUCCCGAGGGAUCAGAAUUCAGGGGAGACGCUGAACGAGUUCUCUCAUUGAUCUUCAGGACUAUUUCCUGUUUGUAUGGGAGGUUAAGAACCCCUGUUGAACUUGGAACUAAACUUGAAUGCCAUUUAAAAUAACCAUUAAAAUACACUUAAAACACUAACCAUAAUGAUAUGCCUCUUCUCUCUUUUAUGAUACGAGGGAAGGCUUGGAGUAGUUUUACUUCAGCUCUUGGGGGUUCAUUUUAGAAAAUGUAGUCCAUAAAGGAGCAGACCACAGCUGGGGGGAGGGGCAGGCUUCAGUCAGAGCUGUUCACAGCGGGGAGGCCUGGGUGAGUGGGUGGGGAAGCACUCUUACACCCCCUCUUGAGUGGCAUCUGCUGUCCUCUUUGUCAUAAAUUCUAAGAGAGUUCUGGGCUACCCUCUCUUUUUAACUUUUGUUCUCAGUGAUAUGAGAAGUUUCUCAAUGUGUCUCAGCCCACAGUAAAGAGCCCCUGAAGGACAGAAAAUCCCAGCUUUCUCCCUCUCCCCUCAGUUCUCUUCUCUCUCACCAUCCUCUUGGGUGGAAAUAGCUUGUUCUGGAGAAAUGUUCUGCUAUCAUUUUCCUCAGAUGGAUAUAAGCUGAAGCAUUAGGGCCUCCACAGUGUCCUGAACUCCUCCAGCAGUUAAAAUCCUGAACCUCUUGUUCUCGGUUCAGAGUCUUCUCUCUCCAGCAGUGCCCACUGAACAGUUCCUACGUGCGCUGUGCUGGGCUCUGGGAUAUAAAAAUUGAGUCACUAAUGGCGUAUGCCCUUCAGUCUACUGGGGUAGAAAAAGAAUUAAUCCUAAGAUUAGUAUGACAUGCUAUAACAGAGGUGUGGCCAAAAUGCUCCUGGAAUAAAGGAGUCACUAACAGUAUCGUAGUGUCAAAAAAGGCUUCUCAGAAGAAGUGAAUCUGGGUUCCUGAAGUAUAGGAAUUUUUUAGGCCCAAGAAGGAGGGAUCUACCAGGUGGAGACAGCAGCACAUACUAAAGCAGGGAGGGAAGAAAGAGCAAGGUAUGGACCUAGAACAAGGAGAGGAGCUCAGAGUGAGGCAUCUGGCUGGACAGAGGCUGUAAAGGCCACGGAAGGGCAUCUGGACUUAACAUGUAGGCAAGGGAGAGCCACUAAAGGUCUUAAGCUGGGACAUGUGGUUAUUUGCUAUCUAUAUUUGGAAAGCUGACUCUAGGGGGUACUGUGUCUGAUGGCAGAAAGGAGAGAUAGGAAGUGGGAAGAACAAAGAAGGAGGCUUGCUGCCAUAAUCCAGCCUAGAGAGGGAGUAACUUAAUAAGGAUGAAGAGGAGAGGCAUUUAGGAGGAAGAAUUCAGAGGACUUGGUGAUCAACUGGAUUAGUGAAAGAGGAGUUGUGGAUGCUAAUCCCUAGGUUUUGAUUUUGACAGCCUAAGCAGGUAGUCAGUUAUCCACCAAAAUGAACAGUGAAGUGGGAAGAGAAGACUGCAGGGGAAAUGAAUGAGUUCAGGUUUAGGUCUCUGUUCAUUGGUUUCUGCUUUGCUAACUGAUGCACUGUGUGACCCUAAGAUAUUCACCUAAUCUUUCUGGCCUUCACUUUCAUCAUCAAUGAAACAGUCAAUAAAGAUAUCUACAGGUUUAUCAUUAGUAAAGCAGUGUGCAUGUGUGCACUCCCAAGCUUAGGAAUUAUCUUUAUCAGGUCUACAAAAAGCUAAAAUCUAGGGAAAACAUCCUCUUACCACCACCCCCCUCAUGCUGAUCAAUACUUAGAUCCUGGGUGGCCAGUGAGAAAUAAGUCUCAGGGAAAUUAAAAACAACAUCCUACUGCUUCCCAGAUACUGAAUUCAAGCUAAUGCUUAGGACUGGGUCAGAUCAGAUUGCUAAUCAGAGUCCCUCAGCUUCCAGAGGAAGCUCUCCAGGGGAACAUGCAGAAAUGUGGUCUUGGUAUCAGACCACUAAAGAGGCGGCCUCUAAGAGAUGUCUGAAAGCUUCUGUGCUUUUUUACGCCAUGUGUCUUUCAGGGAAUGCUUGAAGUCACCCAUUCUCUUUAAAUCUUAGGCUUCCUUGUGUUACAGUGUUGUAUAGGAAAGUGCUGAACAUCUGACCCCAGCCAUUUAUAUUGAAUGUGACUUCAGUAAGUUGUUUCUUUUUUCUGUGUCAGUAUUAGCAUUUGUAAAACAGAAUUAUAAUAGGAUCAAAUAAGAUAAAGAAGAAUGACAUUUUUGGAGGUGCUAUAAGGGUAAGUAAAAGGUAUUAUCUUUCACUUAUCAGAUUGCCAAAAAUAAAAAAAUCUUUAAUAUCCCACUGACUUGUCAAAGACAUGAAACAGGAAUUCUCAUAUGUUGCUAUAGAAGUAUAAAUUGAUUCACUUCUAAAGAGAGCAAUUUAGCAAUAUAUAUAAACAUUGCCAGUGCACAUAUAUUAGACUAAGUAAUUUCAUGUCUAGGAAUUCUUUCUAUUAGGCAAAAAGUUGAAAAUAAAUGCCCACUAAUAAAGGACUGGCUAAAUAAAUUGUGGUAGAUGUAUAUAGUAGAACAGCAUAAAGGUGUAAAAAUAAAGUAGAAAGAAAGGAUCUUCAAGCUAUAACUGGGGGGAGCAUGGUGCAGAAGAGUCUUGUAAUGUGUUAUCGUUUAUGUAAAAAUGUGGGGAGAUAUAUCUCUAGAUAUUUAUCUAUCUAUAAAUGUGAAGUAGAAAGUAUUUCUGGAAAGAUAUACUCAUAAAAUUGGUGAAGAAACUCAAAAUUGGUGUUCAUGUGAAGAACUAGGUGGCUGGGGACAGAGGUGGGAGAAAGAAAGGGUACCCUUUUGUACCCUUUGAAUCUUGAAUCAUAUAAAUUUAAACUAAAUAGCUACAAUAAAGAUAAAGGAGCAAAAAAAAUUAGCAUAAUUUUUUUUUUUGGCAGUACCACUUGGCAUGUGGG
Molecule: long non-coding RNA, 4161 nt
Organism: Cervus hanglu yarkandensis (Yarkand deer)
Lineage: Eukaryota; Metazoa; Chordata; Mammalia; Artiodactyla; Cervidae
Source: Ensembl